Molecule: ribosomal RNA, 301 nt
Filed under: uncultured bacterium
Lineage: Bacteria
Description: partial 16S ribosomal RNA
Rfam family: Bacterial small subunit ribosomal RNA
Source: RNAcentral
CAGCCGCCACGGUAAUACGUAGGGGGCUAGCGUUGUCCGGAAUCACUGGGCGUAAAGGGUUCGCAGGCGGAAAUGCAAGUCAGAUGUAAAAGGCAGUAGCUUAACUACUGUAAGCAUUUGAAACUGCAUAUCUUGAGAAGAGUAGAGGUAAGUGGAAUUUUUAGUGUAGCGGUGAAAUGCGUAGAUAUUAAAAAGAAUACCGGUGGCGAAGGCGACUUACUGGGCUCAUUCUGACGCUGAGGAACGAAAGCGUGGGUAGCAAACAGGAUUAGAUACCCCCGUAGUCCCUGUCUCUUAUACA